GUCUAUGGCCAUGCCACCCUGUAUGUGCCCGAUCUCGUCUGAUCUCGGAAGCUAAGCAGGGUCGGGCCUGGUUAGUACUUGCAUGGGAGACCACCUAGGGGUACCAGGUGCUGUAGGUA
This 119-nucleotide ribosomal RNA is filed under the name Pteropus alecto (black flying fox). The record is from RNAcentral. Lineage: Eukaryota; Metazoa; Chordata; Mammalia; Chiroptera; Pteropodidae.